RNAcentral lists this ribosomal RNA (347 nucleotides) under uncultured bacterium. RNAcentral describes it as "partial 16S ribosomal RNA". It matches the Rfam family "Bacterial small subunit ribosomal RNA", at positions 338 to 682 of the family's 1533-position model. The record is from RNAcentral.
CCUACGGGAGGCAGCAGUGAGGAAUAUUGGUCAAUGGGCGCGAGCCUGAACCAGCCAAGUAGCGUGAAGGAUGACGGCCCUAUGGGUUGUAAACUUCUUUUAUAGGGGAAUAAAGUGCAGUAUGUAGACGGCUUUGCAUGUACCUUAUGAAUAAGGAUCGGCUAACUCCGUGCCAGCAGCCGCGGUAAUACGGAGGAUCCGAGCGUUAUCCGGAUUUAUUGGGUUUAAAGGGAGCGUAGGCGGGUUGUUAAGUCAGUUGUGAAAGUUUGCGGCGCAACCGUAAAAUUGCCGUUGUUACUGGCAUCCUUGAGUACAGUCUCGGUAGGCGGAAUUCGUGGUGUAGCUGU